GUUCCAAGUCUCAGAUCAUAUCCAGGUAGGAAUGCUUGGCUCCUCCCCCUGGGUGGAGCAUCUGACAGUGGGAUGAUGGAAUUUAUCAGUCAUGCAAUGAGACUCAGUGGCCCAUUAACAGAAGAUAUCCCCCUGGAGUUUUGAGGGAUGGGGUAUGGAAGAGAUAAGAAACACUGCCCCAGCUGGUUUUAACAGAUGGUAAUAGAAGACAUACUUCUCAUUACAGCUUGCCUAAACAACUGAAUUAAGUGUGAAAAACAAAAAUUCUCUCUCUGUACUCACAGAUGCCUGAAAUUCUGCUGAGAGCUAGACCUAAAGCUCAUAGCAGACAGAAAGGUACAAAUGCUGAAGCCACAACUACCAAAGUGCUUUGAGAUCUAGCAGAUGUCCUUAGACAAGUUUCUCAAUGGCAGGUCUACCAAAAACCCCAACAAAACAGGUCUGCAAAUUUUCUCAAGCUAUGGGUGAUGCUUUAUUCUUCUCAGAUACAGAAGCAGUGUUCAAAUUCAUAGUUCAGAUUCAUAAGCACAGUUCUAUUAGGACUCCCCAGCCAAUUUAUUUUCCAGAAAUAUCCUUCAGACACUUAAUCUUCAUUAAUUAAUUGAUGAGGGAGCCUGAGCCUACCUCUAGACACAAAGAUUUGCUACCUUGGGCACAGAACUCCUGUAGGGCUUAAGUGUCAUAGCAGAAAGGCUUUGAGAUGCUGGUAGAAUAAAACAGAACAUAAUUCCUUCCUCUUACACAAAUCAACUCCAGCUUGCUUCACAAAUCAUCAACAGGUUGGUGGUUGCUCUUCAGGCAAACAGCUUCCAAUAUCAACAGUGCUGAUCUAGGAAAGAGGAAAGUGGGUUUGGGAGAGUUUUAUUCUCCAAGCACAGUAUUGUUCUUAUCCUGCUUUCUCCUGUUUGAAUUUCUCCAUGCAAAGGGGGAAGGGCAGAAGAAGAGGCUGCUUUCCAACCUGUUACUUUUGCCAGCCAAAUCUUCACACUUUAUAGAUACAGAGGGAUUUUUUGAAAGGCAAAAGAUGAUACAGGCAAAAGUUGCAGACUUAUUUGAAGAACAGAGUAAACCGAAGAGCCUAUACUGUUAUUUUAAUAAUUAAUAUUCCAUUUCAGAUCAUAAUAAUUUGCCUCCAUUACAUUUCUGACAUUUUUAAAGCAAGAACCAUUGCUAAUUUGUCAAGGAUUUCUUUGUAAAAGUGUGAGAAUUGUUCUUUUAAAAACUAUCGAAUAUCAGGAAUUAAAUAAAUGAAGUUUACAGAAACCUCAAGCAUAAUUUCUUCCUAAAGAUCAUUUACUGUUCCUAAACUGUAUGGAAUGAAUUUGUUAUCAUGUUUGCAAAUAUAAAUGCUCAAAAAUUGAGUAUUAAUUGCAUGAUAUAUUUUGGGAGCAUUCUAGAAGUUUAUAAUUGAAUCAGCUAUCUUUAGCUUUUUUCAUUUGUCAAAAAAAAACAUGUUAUAGCUGCAAACUAAUCAAUUAACAUUUUGUGAUAUUUGUCUGAGGAAGAUAAAGGGGCUUGUUUUGUUCUUUAAACACUGCCUUAGUCACUUUACUAGAGUGAUUUUUAAGAAUAAUGUCAUCUGAAUAAGGGUAAUGAUCUAGAAAGACACUGAAAUGAGACAAAAGCAAUUUGAAUUUAAUGUCAGCUUUUGAUAUGGAUUUUUUUCUGCCUCUCAUCUAAAAAGUUUAAUAAACAGAAUCAGGAUCAAGCUGUGACCAUAGUGCUGCUCACUCUGGGCUGGCCAUGUUUACACUGUUGAUAUCUCAUCCAACACAGCCGUGGCAGCUUAUCAAACCGUGCCUGGCAAGUCUUUGGGAAAGUGUUACUUAGCCUUGGGGGAAAACUGUCCCAGAGCUCUUCUGAACAGCAGUGCCACUGGGAUGCACUCCCCGGCACUUCUGAAUUUCCCAGUGCACCUGUAAUUCCCAGGAAGUUGAUCAGAGCAUGGGACAGUUCUAUCAGGUCUCCCAGUGAUCAAACAUACACCCCAGAUACCCCCAACAGUGGGCUGGAAAAUUACAGGGAUGGAAGUACAUCUUAGGGUUUAGCUGCUCCAGGGGCCUAGCUGGGAUCUCUAUCAAUCCCUAGGAACAGCAACUCCUGCCAGCAGACAGGUGGAACAAACACACUCCACAGCCUUUGCUUUUAGGCACAGCAGAAGCCAGCUGGAGAGUUAGGGAAAUGUCUUGGAUCCUCCUCCUUUUUGCAGCAUGCAUCUGCCAGCCUUCUGCGCCCCAUGUUCCCUGGAGCAGGUGGGCAGUGUGCGUAGUGGCACCACUGCCCUGCUCACCACCACCUUGCCAAACAAUGGGGAAGUGCAGUGCAAUGGAAAGAGCUGUCGUGGCUGUGAUAAUGAGGCUGAGGAAUGCAAACAUACACUCCAGGUGCUCCACCCAGGGGGAGGAGCCAAGCAUUCCUACCUGGAUAUAAUCUGAGACUUGGAACACCUUGGCCAUCUUUUUUCCACUAGAUUCCCAAAAGAAAACCAGACAGUUCUACAUCACCACUGGACCUUCAGAGGAAAACUACACUCUUCUACAGGAUCACUGCUUCCACAG
Molecule: long non-coding RNA, 2558 nt
Organism: Parus major (Great Tit)
Lineage: Eukaryota; Metazoa; Chordata; Aves; Passeriformes; Paridae
Exons: 3
Source: RefSeq, a predicted model, not a curated record